Molecule: long non-coding RNA, 328 nt
Organism: Rhododendron vialii
Lineage: Eukaryota; Viridiplantae; Streptophyta; Magnoliopsida; Ericales; Ericaceae
Exons: 2
Source: RefSeq, a predicted model, not a curated record
GGAAUAUUUGUUAGGUUCGGAGACGACGACGAGUACCGCAGCUCCACGUAGGGAGUGACUGCGUUGGUUUUCUUUUUGUUGGAGACCGAGUUUUGCAGGUAUAGGUCGGUGUCCACUACAGGUCGCGUUUUGCAUUUUGUGACUCGCUCGAGAAGUGCGUAGUUGAGGCCUGUGGGAGUCUUUGUCUCCUGGCCCGUAGAUGAUUUUUGCUUAGUUUAGUUUUGGAUAUUAGUUGGUUAUGUAAAGUUUAUUUCUUGACAGACUUCCGCUGUAGUUUGUAAAUGAACAAUAUUUUGAGAUGUAAAUAAAAUGUGGCUGUUGAACUGUA